Molecule: long non-coding RNA, 244 nt
Filed under: Vigna radiata
Lineage: Eukaryota; Viridiplantae; Streptophyta; Magnoliopsida; Fabales; Fabaceae
Description: long non-coding RNA (VRAD_LNC004311)
Source: RNAcentral
UAAAGUUGAGAGGCAUUGGUCAAGAACACUUAGAGCAAGCUAGGAAGAAGGAGAAUUGAGGUCGCGAUCACCGCUCAGCGGUAACCUGACGCUGAGCGCUGCUACUGCAAAAUGGGUUUCUGGUUUUUAAAACAUUGGGCUUAGUGUGGGUUGGCCCAUUAAGCUUUUUUUAAACCCUAGGGCACGUUUUGGUCGCCACUUUCAGUCUUCAUUCUUCUCAAGCACUCUCCUCACUUUUCCCUUC